UUCAGAGAUGAGAAUGUGCCUUCGGGAACCGUGAGACAGGUGCUGCAUGGCUGUCGUCAGCUCGUGUUGUGAAAUGUUGGGUUAAGUCCCGCAACGAGCGCAACCCUUAUCCUUUGUUGCCAGCGGUCCGGCCGGGAACUCAAAGGAGACUGCCAGUGAUAAACUGGAGGAAGGUGGGGAUGACGUCAAGUCAUCAUGGCCCUUACGACCAGGGCUACACACGUGCUACAAUGGCGCAUACAAAGAGAAGCGACCUCGCGAGAGCAAGCGGACCUCAUAAAGUGCGUCGUAGUCCGGAUUGGAGUCUGCAACUCGACUCCAUGAAGUCGGAAUCGCUAGUAAUCGUGGAUCAGAAUGCCACGGUGAAUACGUUCCCGGGCCUUGUACACACCGCCCGUCACACCAUGGGAGUGGGUUGCAAAAGAAGUAGGUAGCUUAACCUUCGGGAGGGCGCUUACCACUUUGUGAUUCAUGACUGGGGUGAAGUCGUAACAAGGUAACCGUAGGGGAACCUGCGGUUGGAUCACCUCCU
This 532-nucleotide ribosomal RNA is filed under the name Escherichia coli. RNAcentral's name for it is "bacterial SSU rRNA". It matches the Rfam family "Bacterial small subunit ribosomal RNA", at positions 999 to 1531 of the family's 1533-position model. The record is from RNAcentral. Lineage: Bacteria; Pseudomonadati; Pseudomonadota; Gammaproteobacteria; Enterobacterales; Enterobacteriaceae. RNAcentral also lists the same sequence under 1 other name.